Molecule: ribosomal RNA, 382 nt
Filed under: uncultured eukaryote
Lineage: Eukaryota
Description: partial 18S ribosomal RNA
Rfam family: Eukaryotic small subunit ribosomal RNA
Source: RNAcentral
UGUAAGCGUAUACCAAAGUUGUUGCAGUUAAAACGCUCGUAGUCGGAAUUUGGCAGUUCCGGAUGUGUGCACGUCGUGUGCGCACUUCGCGGGGAUUGCGUUUGUGGUCUUGCGUAGGAUGAGGCACUUUUAUUAGUGAACGUCCUCACGCAACCACUUUUUACUGUGAGAAAAUCAGAGUGCUCAAAGCAGGCAUUUGCCGUGAAUGUAUUAGCAUGGAAUAAUAGAAUAGGACUUGGUUCUAUUUUGUUGGUUUGUUGGGACUGAGUAAUGAUUAAGAGGGACAGUUGGGGGCAUUUGUAUUUCGGUGCUAGAGGUGAAAUUCUUAGAUUACCGAAAGACAAACUGCUGCGAAAGCGUCUGCCAAGGAUGUUUUCAUUGA